AGUGAACGCUGGCGGUAGGCCUAACACAUGCAAGUCGAACGGCAGCACAGGAGAGCUUGCUCUCUGGGUGGCGAGUGGCGGACGGGUGAGGAAUACAUCGGAAUCUACUCUGUCGUGGGGGAUAACGUAGGGAAACUUACGCUAAUACCGCAUACGACCUACGGGUGAAAGCAGGGGAUCUUCGGACCUUGCGCGAUUGAAUGAGCCGAUGUCGGAUUAGCUAGUUGGCGGGGUAAAGGCCCACCAAGGCGACGAUCCGUAGCUGGUCUGAGAGGAUGAUCAGCCACACUGGAACGGAGACACGGUCCAGACUCCGACGGGAGGCAGCGGUGGGGAAUAUUGGACAAUGGGCGCAAGCCUGAUCCAGCCAUACCGCGUGGGUGAAGAAGGCCUUCGGGUUGUAAAGCCCUUUUGUUGGGAAAGAAAUCCAGCUGGCUAAUACCCGGUUGGGAUGACGGUACCCAAAGAAUAAGCACCGGCUAACUUCGUGCCAGCCGCCGCCGUAA
Molecule: ribosomal RNA, 506 nt
Filed under: uncultured bacterium
Lineage: Bacteria
Description: partial 16S ribosomal RNA
Rfam family: Bacterial small subunit ribosomal RNA
Source: RNAcentral